This 653-nucleotide ribosomal RNA is filed under the name halophilic archaeon. Its description in RNAcentral is "bacterial SSU rRNA". It matches the Rfam family "Archaeal small subunit ribosomal RNA", at positions 92 to 744 of the family's 1478-position model. The record is from RNAcentral. Lineage: Archaea; Methanobacteriati; Methanobacteriota; Halobacteria; Halobacteriales.
AGUAACACGUGGCCAAACUACCCUUCGGAACACAAUACCCUCGGGAAACUGAGGCUAAUAGUGUAUACCGCAUCACACCUGGAAUGAGUGAUGCGCCAAACGCUCCGGCGCCGAAGGAUGUGGCUGCGGCCGAUUAGGUAGACGGUGGGGUAACGGCCCACCGUGCCAAUAAUCGGUACGGGUCAUGAGAGUGAGAACCCGGAGACGGAAUCUGAGACAAGAUUCCGGGCCCUACGGGGCGCAGCAGGCGCGAAACCUUUACACUGCACGACAGUGCGAUAAGGGAAUCCCAAGUGCGUAGGCAUAGAGCCUACGCUUUUGUCUACCGUAGGGAGGUGGACGAAUAAGGGCUGGGCAAGACCGGUGCCAGCCGCCGCGGUAAUACCGGCAGCCCGAGUGAUGGCCGAUCUUAUUGGGCCUAAAGCGUCCGUAGCUGGCCGCGCAAGUCUAUCGGAAAAUCCACCCGCUCAACGGGUGGGCGUCCGGUAGAAACUGCGUGGCUUGGGACCGGAAGGCGCGACGGGUACGUCCGGGGUAGGAGUGAAAUCCUGUAAUCCUGGACGGACCGCCGAUGGCGAAAGCACGUCGCGAAGACGGAUCCGACAGUGAGGGACGAAAGCUAGGGUCUCGAACCGGAUUAGAUACCCGGGUAG